This is a long non-coding RNA of Nerophis ophidion (straightnose pipefish), 1000 nucleotides long. RefSeq lists it as uncharacterized. The transcript is spliced from 4 exons. The record is from RefSeq and is a predicted model, not a curated record. NCBI's taxonomy places the organism in Eukaryota, Metazoa, Chordata, Actinopteri, Syngnathiformes, Syngnathidae.
ACCAACACUGACAAAGAUUUCAUCUAUCGAUACACCUUUUGUUCUUUUUCACAGACUUCUUGUCGUUGUUGCCAGCCACAUGACUUGCAGAUUCCAAAGCAAGAGAUGUAAAUCUUUUUUUUUUUCUCUUGCUCAAAAUGAACAUAUUUUAUUUGCGAACAAAAAAAUAUGUAAAUAAACAUACAUAUAACAGGAUAAAUCUAAGAUAUUUGUGCAUUCCUCUUUUGUUUUUGGCAACAUUCUUUUUUAUUAUUGCGUAUUAUAUACUUCCAAACAGCAGCAGAGGAGCCAUAAUCUUUUUUAAGAGAUUACAGAACAUAAUUCCAAGCAGCAAAUGAGAAAUCCACAUCAUUUUGGUUCAGUAGAUGUUUUGUGGAAAUGCCUGCUGCACAACCACCAAGAAACUUCCCCAGGAGCCUGUCUGCAGUACACAACUACCAAACGGGGAGGCCAAGGAGAACCACAGGAGGAAGCUGUAAGGGAAGCUGAAGGACAACAAGAAGGGCGGCGGUUUGGAGAGCUCGCCAUCAUUACCAGCCGCCAGCAGAAAGACUUGGUCCUGUCACGGCGCGGUCUCGAACCAUCUUUUCCCCGGCAGCUGGGUCUGCCAGCACUUCCGCUGACACGCCUCUGCUUGCGCUGCCCGCAUCACGCCCACAUGCCGGCAAGGCUGUGGGCGAUCAGCAAUCAACACAACUGCGAAUGAUGAGGGCGAGCGGUAUGUAGACUAGUGGACCCAAGGAUCCUCGCCGGAACUUAGUCUUCCGUACUCAAUCUGCCGUCGUCCCUGCGUGAUCGAGCUGUGCGCCUCGACUUCCCCUUUGGACUUUGGACUGCCACUCUCCAUCCUCGACCCUUCGCAUGGACACGGACUCUAACGCCUCUCUUUCGCCCUGGAUCCUCUGCCUGUCCCACGUACUGCCUUCCUGCCUUUUUCCUCCCCUCGCCCAACACAUCACGGUAAUACGCAACUUUAAUUACACACAUAGUCAAACACACA